RNAcentral lists this ribosomal RNA (255 nucleotides) under uncultured bacterium. RNAcentral's name for it is "partial 16S ribosomal RNA". It matches the Rfam family "Bacterial small subunit ribosomal RNA", at positions 526 to 779 of the family's 1533-position model. The record is from RNAcentral.
CGUAGGGCGCGAGCGUUAUCCGGAAUUAUUGGGCGUAAAGAGCUCGUAGGCGGUUUGUCGCGUCUGCCGUGAAAGUCCGGGGCUUAACCCCGGAUCUGCGGUGGGUACGGGCAGACUAGAGUGCAGUAGGGGAGACUGGAAUUCCUGGUGUAGCGGUGAAAUGCGCAGAUAUCGGGGAGGAACACCGAUGGCGAAGGCAGGUCUCUGGGCUGUAACUGACGCUGAGGAGCGAAAGCAUGGGGAGCGAACAGGAUU